UCCCUGGUGGCUCAAAGAGCAAAGAAUCUGCCUGAAAUGCAGGAGACCCAGGUUCAGUCCCUGGUUAGGGAU
This 72-nucleotide transfer RNA is filed under the name Capra hircus (goat). It matches the Rfam family "tRNA". From Rfam's summary of the family: Transfer RNA (tRNA) molecules are approximately 80 nucleotides in length. Their secondary structure includes four short double-helical elements and three loops (D, anti-codon, and T loops). RNAcentral also lists the same sequence under 1 other name. Lineage: Eukaryota; Metazoa; Chordata; Mammalia; Artiodactyla; Bovidae. The record is from Rfam by way of RNAcentral.